GCCCAUCAACACUCGGUCAACCUUGUUACAGAGGAAGGACUUGAUGUGGACAAUGGACCUCCGAGCCAGCAAUGGCACGGUGGGCUGAAGUUAAUGGUCGUCGAAUGGUAACAUGAUCGGCGAGUGGUGGGCUAACUGCGCAUGCCAAUCAUUGCUACCAUUUCGCCGUAUGGCCUCUAUACCCCAGUCGUAACGAGGGGAUUGUUGUUGCAGCAUCUUGUUGUUUCACAAUUUCGGACC
RNAcentral lists this unclassified non-coding RNA (240 nucleotides) under Isolepis setacea. RNAcentral describes it as "ITS2". The record is from RNAcentral. Lineage: Eukaryota; Viridiplantae; Streptophyta; Magnoliopsida; Poales; Cyperaceae.